RNAcentral lists this ribosomal RNA (540 nucleotides) under Kudoa neothunni. RNAcentral describes it as "partial small subunit ribosomal RNA". The record is from RNAcentral. Lineage: Eukaryota; Metazoa; Cnidaria; Myxozoa; Multivalvulida; Kudoidae.
CUUUAAUGGAGUGUGUUGGGACUAUUUUAGCCCACACACCAUAGGUUUUGAUAUGGAAAGCGCCAUUAAAGUAUACGUUGUUUCAAUGUUGUGCCAGCUUAAGCGGUAACACAAAUGAAACUCUCUUGCUUUAGGAGGUGGAUAAAGGAUACUUUUUCCCUUGGUUCUUCCAGGGAAAUCAAGUAGUCUAUGGUGUACCGGGAACAAAAGAUGGGCCUCUUGUGAAGAAUAAACUUCCUAGACUUCGGACAUUGUGGCUGGUCCAGUUCCCUGGUGUCCCGAUAAACCGUUAAAUCUUACUUCUUUUUAACACAGGUUGCAUGGCCCACUUCUUUCUCAAGUUUCUUGAGGAAGCUUGGUGACAUGGCAUGUGGGAAGAUUUCACCAUGGGCUGGAGCAUAGGGUGUAACCUUUAUGCUCUAGAACUGGAGAGUAAUCUCGGUUUUAAUGGGACCAAGGUGAACAGACCUCCUAAGGGACUCAUUGCUCGUCACCUGGGGUGAAAGCCCUAGUAAGUCGAAACAUGGUAGGAAAUGGGGA